This 61-nucleotide ribosomal RNA is filed under the name uncultured bacterium. RNAcentral's name for it is "partial 16S ribosomal RNA". The record is from RNAcentral.
GAAGACAGGUAGCCUAACCGCAAGGAGGGCGCUACCACGGUGAGAUUCAUCGACUGGGGUG